AUAAUUAUAUUUUAUACGAAACAAGUAACCAUAGAAUUUCCUGAUAUUGAAACAUUAAAGUAUAUACUUUUUUUAAACUACCCCAGCCUCUUGAAGACACUGUUUUCAAAUUACGCAAAUCGGAUGCUACUGGGCGUAAUCGGAUGCUACUGGCCAUUUUAGCCGCAAGCGGCAACACCCGCUUCCCCCACUGCUGCUAAUUUUUUUCUCUAUUUCUUCUUUUUUUCUUGUUUUCUUUCU
RNAcentral lists this unclassified non-coding RNA (240 nucleotides) under Hevea brasiliensis (rubber tree). The record is from RNAcentral. Lineage: Eukaryota; Viridiplantae; Streptophyta; Magnoliopsida; Malpighiales; Euphorbiaceae.